ACCAGUCAUUUCGUUCUUUCGUUUGUUCUCGUCCGUUAUAUGAUUCACUUCACUUUCUUACGCUGUCUACACAGCUCGUGUUUUUGCGUGUUCUACAACACUACACUAGUUUUUAUGUUCUGUUUGCAGUCGUCCCAAACCACGUUGUUGUGAAUUUUGUGAUUCAUCGUCUGUUUAGGGUGGUCAAAAUUACCAGCGAUUUGUUUAGUGAUUCAACGUGUUUUGGUGUACCUCGUUGCUCGUGGGGACAGUAGUGUACGCUAAAGAUCCUGUCCCGGCUGCAUUCAGUGUGCUUUGUUGUGAAGUCUUCGUCAACAGUUGUCGGCACACAUUCGCACGUACGCAGGGUCAAUUUUGUUUAUUGUAUUGUAAUUGUUUUUGACUUAAAUACAGGCCCUGGUGCGGUAGCGUGGGUGUAAAACCAGGUGUGUGUCUCAACUGUUAUGUGAGUAUUGGUCGGCCAACUAUUUGUGUAUGACCGACGGGUCUUAUAUUAUUAUUAUUUUUAUACAGACUGUAAAGUUAUAACUGGCUGUGAUCUUUAUAAUUAUUACUAUUAUUAUUAUAUUGUUAUUGUUUAAUUAUACUGUUAUUAUUUAAC
This is a long non-coding RNA of Aphis gossypii (cotton aphid), 601 nucleotides long. RefSeq lists it as uncharacterized. NCBI's taxonomy places the organism in Eukaryota, Metazoa, Arthropoda, Insecta, Hemiptera, Aphididae. The transcript is spliced from 2 exons. The record is from RefSeq and is a predicted model, not a curated record.